GAUGAACGCUAGCGGCAGGCCUAAUACAUGCAAGUCGAGGGGCAACAGGUGUAGCAAUACAUGCUGGCGACCGGCGCACGGGUGCGUAACACGUAUGUAAUCUACCCUUUACUGGAAGAUAGCCCGGAGAAAUUCGGAUUAAUACUCCAUAACACUAUAACAUGGCAUCAUGAAGUAGUUAAAGAUUUAUCGGUAAAGGAAGAGCAUGCGGCUGAUUAGCUAGUUGGUGAGGUAACGGCUCACCAAGGCAACGAUCAGUAGGGGACCUGAGAGGGUGAUCCCCCACACUGGUACUGAGAUACGGACCAGACUCCUACGGGAGGCAGCAGUAGGGAAUAUUGGGCAAUGGAGGCAACUCUGACCCAGCCAUGCCGCGGGCAGGAAGACGGCCUUCUGGGUUGUAAACUGCUUUUGAUCGGGAACAAAGAGCCCUUGCGAGGGAAGUUGAGUGUACCGAUAGAAUAAGCACCGGCUAACUCCGUGCCAGCCGCCGCCGUAA
This 499-nucleotide ribosomal RNA is filed under the name uncultured bacterium. Its description in RNAcentral is "partial 16S ribosomal RNA". It matches the Rfam family "Bacterial small subunit ribosomal RNA", at positions 28 to 523 of the family's 1533-position model. The record is from RNAcentral.